This 242-nucleotide ribosomal RNA is filed under the name uncultured bacterium. Its description in RNAcentral is "partial 16S ribosomal RNA". It matches the Rfam family "Bacterial small subunit ribosomal RNA", at positions 15 to 240 of the family's 1533-position model. The record is from RNAcentral.
GAUCAUGGCUCAGGAUGAACGCUGGCGGCGUGCUUAACACAUGCAAGUCGAACGAAGCACUUUAAUUGAUUUCUUCGGAAUGAAGUUUUUGUGACUGAGUGGCGAACGGGUGAGUAACACGUGGGUGAUCUGCCCCGCACUGUGGGAUAAGCCUGGGAAACUGGGUCUAAUACCACAUACGACCAUGGCGUAGGGGUCAUGGUGGAAAGCUUUAUUGCGGUGUGGGAUGAGCCCGCGGCCUA